CUGAGCCAGGAAAAAGCCGCGCCCUCUCUCUCUCUCUCUCUCACUGCCGGCAAAGUCAGACAGCAGGAUUCCACAAAUCCUGCUGCGAGAAUAUCCACAACUGGCUCCGCCCACCCGGAGCAACCCUGGGACAGUACAUUCAGUGAAACAACAUGCCUGGUUAAACCAAGGAUCAAGAUGGAUCGCUGGGGGAUGCUGAGGAGUUAUGGUUAAAUCUCUCUGAAAAACCGGCACGGUUCAGCACAAGCAACAGAGGGCCCCACCAAUUUAGUGAAGUAAUCCACUUGGAAUUCAUGUCAUCACUACCUACCACAUAACUCAGAGCUGCCGGACAGUAACAACAGCAAUGUGCAUCGGAAUGUUAUAGUGAAUGCUAUAUUGUUGCUUCUCCUUAUCUCUGUCCAACCAGGGCAUCACUGUUUACCACUGUAGAGGCGUAUGGCUGUCAGUGGAAAAUCACAGUACAUUUCAAGAUCCAAACUGCAUUUAGAAGAAAAAAACACGUCAAACAAGCGACAAUAAAGGCACAGACAAAUGGA
Molecule: long non-coding RNA, 539 nt
Organism: Anguilla rostrata (American eel)
Lineage: Eukaryota; Metazoa; Chordata; Actinopteri; Anguilliformes; Anguillidae
Exons: 2
Source: RefSeq, a predicted model, not a curated record